Molecule: ribosomal RNA, 253 nt
Filed under: uncultured bacterium
Lineage: Bacteria
Description: partial 16S ribosomal RNA
Rfam family: Archaeal small subunit ribosomal RNA
Source: RNAcentral
UACCAGCACCCCGAGUGGUCGGGACGAUUAUUGGGCCUAAAGCAUCCGUAGCCGGUUUUACAAGUCCCCCGUUAAAUCCAGCUGCUUAACAGAUGGGCUGCGGAGGAUACUAUAAGACUAGGAGGCAGGAGAGGCAAGCGGUACUCAGUGGGUAGGGGUAAAAUCCGUUGAUCCAUUGAAGACCACCAGUGGCGAAGGCGGCUUGCCAGAAUGCGCUCGACGGUGAGGAUGAAAGCUGGGGGAGCAAAGCCGG